RNAcentral lists this ribosomal RNA (488 nucleotides) under uncultured Burkholderia sp. RNAcentral's name for it is "bacterial SSU rRNA". It matches the Rfam family "Bacterial small subunit ribosomal RNA", at positions 894 to 1382 of the family's 1533-position model. The record is from RNAcentral. Lineage: Bacteria; Pseudomonadati; Pseudomonadota; Betaproteobacteria; Burkholderiales; Burkholderiaceae.
UCAGAACUCAAAUGAAUUGACGGGGACCCGCACAAGCGGUGGAUGAUGUGGAUUAAUUCGAUGCAACGCGAAAAACCUUACCUACCCUUGACAUGGUCGGAAUCCCGCUGAGAGGUGGGAGUGCUCGAAAGAGAACCGGCGCACAGGUGCUGCAUGGCUGUCGUCAGCUCGUGUCGUGAGAUGUUGGGUUAAGUCCCGCAACGAGCGCAACCCUUGUCCUUAGUUGCUACGCAAGAGCACUCUAAGGAGACUGCCGGUGACAAACCGGAGGAAGGUGGGGAUGACGUCAAGUCCUCAUGGCCCUUAUGGGUAGGGCUUCACACGUCAUACAAUGGUCGGAACAGAGGGUUGCCAACCCGCGAGGGGGAGCUAAUCCCAGAAAACCGAUCGUAGUCCGGAUUGCACUCUGCAACUCGAGUGCAUGAAGCUGGAAUCGCUAGUAAUCGUCGGAUCACGCAUGACCGACGGUGAAUACGUUCCCGGGUCUU